RNAcentral lists this long non-coding RNA (200 nucleotides) under Elaeis guineensis (African oil palm). Its description in RNAcentral is "long non-coding RNA (EGUI_LNC009622)". The record is from RNAcentral. Lineage: Eukaryota; Viridiplantae; Streptophyta; Magnoliopsida; Arecales; Arecaceae.
GAUCUCCAGUGAGCUCAAUCACCCGAAAAAUAGUGUCAUGUAUGGCGAUAUCCCAACCAAAAGGUUGAAAUGAGAGUAACCUAUUCCUACCCCCAUUUUAGGCUUCAAUUCUUCUCAACCAAACUGCCCCUUAAGUUUGAUCAUAAUUCCUCACUCCAGUAUUGACAGAGGCUUCUAUCCAUCCUGAAAAAGAAAGGUGA